Molecule: ribosomal RNA, 680 nt
Filed under: uncultured Actinomycetes bacterium
Lineage: Bacteria; Bacillati; Actinomycetota; Actinomycetes
Description: bacterial SSU rRNA
Rfam family: Bacterial small subunit ribosomal RNA
Source: RNAcentral
GCGUGCUUAACACAUGCAAGUCGAGCGGAAAGGCCCUUUCGGGGGUACUCGAGCGGCGAACGGGUGAGUAACACGUGAGUAAUCUGCCCUGCGCUCUGGGAUAGCCACCGGAAACGGUGAUUAAUACCGGAUAGGACCACUUCACGCAUGUGAUGGUGGUGGAAAGUUUUUUCGGCGCAGGAUGUGCUCGCGGCCUAUCAGCUUGUUGGUGAGGUAACGGCUCACCAAGGCUUUGACGGGUAACCGGCCUGAGAGGGUGACCGGUCACACUGGGACUGAGACACGGCCCAGACUCCUACGGGAGGCAGCAGUGGGGAAUAUUGGACAAUGGGCGGAAGCCUGAUCCAGCAACGCCGCGUGAGGGAUGACGGCCUUCGGGUUGUAAACCUCUUUCAGUACCGACGAAGCGAAAGUGACGGUAGGUACAGAAGAAGGACCGGCCAACUACGUGCCAGCAGCCGCGGUAAUACGUAGGGUCCGAGCGUUGUCCGGAAUUAUUGGGCGUAAAGGGCUCGUAGGCGGUUUGUCGCGUCGGGAGUGAAAACACCGGGCUUAACUCGGUGCUUGCUUUCGAUACGGGCAGACUAGAGGUAUGCAGGGGAGAAUGGAAUUCCUGGUGUAGCGGUGAAAUGCGCAGAUAUCAGGAGGACACCGGUGGCGAAGCGGUUCUCUGGGCAUUA